CGCGUCGACACUGGAUACGGUGAUGUGAAAUUGUGCAAUGUAUUAUUUGAAGGUUUGAGGAUGGAGUGGUGGUGGGUAGUGCCGUAACCAGGUUGGAGAAAGGGUGGACUACUAUAUGUAUGGGGCUGUGCAAUGGACUGUGUUGAGGAGAAGAAGCAGCAGCAGCGGUGGUAGUUGUUGAAGUCCAGAAGACGUGAUUGGUGUGUGAUAAUCCAGAGGGACAUUAACGCUCGACUGAAUGUUGGAAAUGAGAGGCAGUAAAGGUGUAAGUAUUGUUAUUGAAGUUGUACGUAUACUUUGUUAUAAUUUGAAGAGUAGAGCAUUUGUAACAUUGACGUAUUGUUUUUUGUUUUCAUGUUGGUGGUGGAGGAGCGCGUCGACACUGGAUACGGUGAUGUGAAAUUGUGCAAUGUAUUAUUUGAAGGUUUGAGGAUGGAGUGGUGGUGGGUAGUGCCGUAACCAGGUUGGAGAAAGGGUGGACUACUACAUGUAUGGGGCUGUGCAAUGGACUGUGUUGAGGAGAAGAAGCAGCAGCAGCAGGGGCGGCGGCGGUAGCAGCAGUGGCGGCAGUUGUUUAAGAUAAGUAGUGUGGUGUGGUGCAUCGUGAAUUGUUUGUGAUAGUUUAGGGUCAUAGUGAA
Molecule: long non-coding RNA, 638 nt
Organism: Homarus americanus (American lobster)
Lineage: Eukaryota; Metazoa; Arthropoda; Malacostraca; Decapoda; Nephropidae
Exons: 3
Source: RefSeq, a predicted model, not a curated record